Molecule: ribosomal RNA, 497 nt
Filed under: uncultured soil bacterium
Lineage: Bacteria
Description: bacterial SSU rRNA
Rfam family: Bacterial small subunit ribosomal RNA
Source: RNAcentral
AGAUUGAACGCUGGCGGCAUGCCUUACACAUGCAAGUCGAACGGCAGCACGGGAGCAAUCCUGGUGGCGAGUGGCGAACGGGUGAGUAAUAUAUCGGAACGUGCCCAGUAAUGGGGGAUAGCCCGGCGAAAGCCGGAUUAAUACCGCAUACGACCUACGGGUGAAAGCGGGGGAUCGCAAGACCUCGCGUUAUUGGAGCGGCCGAUAUCAGAUUAGCUUGUUGGUGGGGUAAAAGCCUACCAAGGCGACGAUCUGUAGCUGGUCUGAGAGGACGACCAGCCACACUGGGACUGAGACACGGCCCAGACUCCUACGGGAGGCAGCAGUGGGGAAUUUUGGACAAUGGGCGCAAGCCUGAUCCAGCCAUGCCGCGUGUGGGAAGAAGGCCUUCGGUUGUAAACCACUUUGUCAGGAAGAAACGGCCCAAGUUAAUACCUAGGCUAAUGACGGUACCUGAAGAAUAAGCACCGGCUAACUACGUGCCAGCAGCCGCGUAA